This 422-nucleotide long non-coding RNA is filed under the name Mytilus galloprovincialis (Mediterranean mussel). The record is from RNAcentral. Lineage: Eukaryota; Metazoa; Mollusca; Bivalvia; Mytilida; Mytilidae.
CCAAAAUAUAUUUCAUCUGUUUAAUUGUUCAUUCAAAAUAUUUAAUUUCUUAACAUAAAAAUUAAAAAUAACACCUCAAAGAUUCAUUGAACAGUUAACUACUGUAAAGCAACUUAUUUUGGUGGAUAAUUUAUUCCUUCCUAGGCCACUUCUCAGCUUAUAAAUAUUGUGUUACUAAUGGUUCUAUGAGCAAAACUUAAAGCCCCCGCCAACCUUCACCCCCCUCCAAAAAAAAAAUAAAAAAAAUAAAUAGAAACACAAAAAAACUUGGAGACCUGUGCAUGAUGCCACUUGUAAAAUUAAUUCAGUCAAAUAUUAAAUGCAGGUUGUAAAGAUGAAGAGCAAAUGACAUAUGUAGAAACUCGACUGGAAGACUUGAAAGAUAUAGACACCCCCAUCGAACACGACAACUACAAAAUACA